Molecule: non-coding RNA, 96 nt
Filed under: human gut metagenome
Description: THF riboswitch
Rfam family: THF (Tetrahydrofolate) riboswitch aptamer
About the family: THF riboswitch presents a pseudoknot that joins P1-P2 and the loop of P3 and two THF binding.
Source: RNAcentral
GCAGAGUAGACAGUCGUGCGUUAAGUGCUGCCGGGACGGGGAGUUGCCGGGCAGACGAAGGGAUUUUUCCGCGGUACGGCAGUCGCAUCCCGCUGC